Molecule: ribosomal RNA, 425 nt
Filed under: uncultured bacterium
Lineage: Bacteria
Description: bacterial SSU rRNA
Rfam family: Bacterial small subunit ribosomal RNA
Source: RNAcentral
GGGGAAUAUUGGACAAUGGGGGCAACCCUGAUCCAGCAAUGCCGCGUGUGUGAAGAAGGCCUGAGGGUUGUAAAGCACUAUCAGUGGGGAGGAGGAUUGAUUGGUUAAGAGCUGAUUGAUUGGACGUUACCCACAGAAGAAGCACCGGCUAACUCCGUGCCAGCAGCCGCGGUAAUACGGAGGGUGCGAGCGUUAAUCGGAAUUACUGGGCGUAAAGGGUGCGUAGGUUGUUGAAUAAGUUAUCUGUGAAAUUCCUGGGCUUAACCUGGGCAUGUCAGAUGAUACUGUUUGACUCGAGUAUGGGAGAGGGCAGUGGAAUUUCCGGUGUAGCGGUGAAAUGCGUAGAGAUCGGAAGGAACACCAGUGGCGAAGGCGACUGCCUGGCCUGUUACUGACACUGAGGCACGAAAGCGUGGGGAGCAAAC